CAUUUGCGAACAUAUUUACAGAAGUUAUAAUGGCGCUUCUAUGGCCACUGAAUCUGGCGCAGUUCUGGCGAUGUUGUGCGCAUUUACAGCAUUUGUGUAGGCGUGUGAUUAGCAGGUGAAAGUGUCUUUCUGUUCGUGUUCCUUCUGAUACGUGAAAGUGGUGUUUUGACAGUCAAAAACAGUCGUAGUGAACCGGCACUACGUUUGUGCAGGUUAUCAGCAGCUCAUCUGUGCAGUUAACGCAGCAAGACAACAGCAAAGGUGCCGAGCGCUCUUCAUGUUUGACAUCUUGAAGACGCAAUUGAUGCUGUCUGCUACACAAAUGCCCUGUCAUCACUUCUACGAUUGCGCCAACCGAUGAUCACAAGUGCCAUGUCUUCAUCCUAGAGAAGGGAACCGAAGAGAAGGCAAUCAUUGGCGAGAAAACUGGAUGCGUGCGUCGGCCAUGGAUAGCGGGGGUGCGAGCUUUUGGAAUUUUCAUCGAGAGAACUGCAUCUGGAGUGCAGUGUCUGCUGAUGCAUCUCGGUUCAGGACUGGCGCAUGGGAAGGUGUGCGUGACAAAUAUUUGACUAUAGUGACCCUUUGUUGCCAUAGAAAGUUGUCCAUGAGGGCCUUCAAGAGAGGGCAGGUAGUGUAGUUUCCCUUCCUUUCUUUCUGCAGGGCAUCAACGUAAGAAAGACAUCAAGGCACUAUCUGCAUGAUUUGUAGUCUGCUUGAUUGUACCCAAUAAAAAAAGUUGAAAAUUCCAAACACUGUUCAUUGUAGCUUACCUGCUUGUGAUGGAGCACGUAGCGUUCAAACUUUUGAAUGUUUAAUACUCAAUGCAAUGUGUGCAUCUUGCUCUGUGAAACAGAUGACAUAACACAAGACCGGCUGUGAAAAGUGACAUCGUCCUUUACACAGUUCCAAUUUUUUUUUUUUUUUUUGUGUGGAUGGCUUUAGGAAAAAUGUGAUUUAAGUGUAAUACUAUUUUAUGCUUACAUGUGCAGUGCAGUGACAUGCGAAUUCAGCUGUAUUGUCAGUGUGUGAACUUCUAGCACAAUU
Molecule: long non-coding RNA, 1044 nt
Organism: Dermacentor silvarum
Lineage: Eukaryota; Metazoa; Arthropoda; Arachnida; Ixodida; Ixodidae
Exons: 4
Source: RefSeq, a predicted model, not a curated record